UACGAGUGCCUCAAGCGUUAUCCGGAAUUACUGGGCGUAAAGGGUGUGUAGGUGGUUUUGUUAGUCUUCUGUUAAAGCUUCGGGCUUAACCCCGAAAAAAUGCAGGGGGAUACGGCAAAUCUAGAGGAUGCAAGAGGUGUGCGGAACUCAUGGUGUAGGGGGUGAAAAUCCGUUUGAUAUCAUGGGGGAACACCAAAAAGCGAAGGCAGCACACUGGUGCAUUCCUGACACUGAAAACACGAAAAGCGUGGGUAGCGAAUGGGGAUUAGAAAACCCCGAGU
This 281-nucleotide ribosomal RNA is filed under the name uncultured bacterium. RNAcentral describes it as "partial 16S ribosomal RNA". It matches the Rfam family "Bacterial small subunit ribosomal RNA", at positions 524 to 794 of the family's 1533-position model. The record is from RNAcentral.